Molecule: ribosomal RNA, 616 nt
Filed under: Oenococcus oeni
Lineage: Bacteria; Bacillati; Bacillota; Bacilli; Lactobacillales; Lactobacillaceae
Description: bacterial SSU rRNA
Rfam family: Bacterial small subunit ribosomal RNA
Source: RNAcentral
UACAUGCAAGUCGUACGCUAGCCGCUGAAUUGAUCCUUCGGGUGAAGUGAGGCAAUGACUAGAGUGGCGAACUGGUGAGUAACACGUAAGAAACCUGCCCUUUAGUGGGGGAUAACAUUUGGAAACAGAUGCUAAUACCGCGUAACAACAAAUCACACAUGUGAUCUGUUUGAAAGGUCCUUUUGGAUCGCUAGAGGAUGGUCUUGCGGCGUAUUAGCUUGUUGGUAGGGUAGAAGCCUACCAAGGCAAUGAUGCGUAGCCGAGUUGAGAGACUGGCCGGCCACAUUGGGACUGAGACACUGCCCAAACUCCUACGGGAGGCUGCAGUAGGGAAUUUUCCGCAAUGCACGAAAGUGUGACGGAGCGACGCCGCGUGUGUGAUGAAGGCUUUCGGGUCGUAAAGCACUGUUGUAAGGGAAGAAUAACUGAAUUCAGAGAAAGUUUUCAGCUUGACGGUACCUUACCAGAAAGGGAUGGCUAAAUACGUGCCAGCAGCCGCGGUAAUACGUAUGUCCCGAGCGUUAUCCGGAUUUAUUGGGCGUAAAGCGAGCGCAGACGGUUUAUUAAGUCUGAUGUGAAAUCCCGAGGCCCAACCUCGGAACUGCAUUGGAAACUG